CCUACGGGUGGCUGCAGUGAGGAAUAUUGGUCAAUGGGCGGGAGCCUGAACCAGCCAAGCCGCGUGCGGGAAGAAGGUACAGCGUGUCGUAAACCUCUUUUGUAAGGGGACAAAGGCGGGGACUAGUCCCCGGCUGCGGGUACCUGACGAAAAAGCGUCGGCUAACUCCGUGCCAGCAGCCGCGGUAAUACGGAGGAUGCGAGCGUUAUCCGGAUUUAUUGGGCUUAAAGGGUGCGCAGGCGGUCUGUUAAGUCAGCGGUAAAAGCCCGGGGCUCAACCCCGGCGAGCCGUUGAAACUGGCGGGCUGGAGUUCGAGAGAGGCACGCGGAAUGCGCGGUGUAGCGGUGAAAUGCUUAGAUAUCGCGCAGAACCCCGAUUGCGAAGGCAGCGUACCGGCGCCACACUGACGCUGAGGCACGAAAGCGUGGGUAUCGAACAGGAUUAGAUACCCUAGUAGUC
This 459-nucleotide ribosomal RNA is filed under the name uncultured bacterium. RNAcentral describes it as "partial 16S ribosomal RNA". It matches the Rfam family "Bacterial small subunit ribosomal RNA", at positions 338 to 795 of the family's 1533-position model. The record is from RNAcentral.